AUACGGAGGAUGCAAGCGUUAUCCGGAUUUAUUGGGUUUAAAGGGUGCGCAGGCGGCGCGUUAAGUCAGUGGUGAAAUGUCCCGGCUCAACCGGGGAACUGCCGCUGAUACUGACGUGCUCGAGUACGGACGGCGCCGGCGGAAUGUGUCAUGUAGCGGUGAAAUGCUUAGAUAUGCCACAGAACACCGAUCGCGAAGGCAGCUGGCGAGGCCGGUACUGACGCUCAGGCACGAAAGCGUGGGGAUCAAACAGGAUUAGAUACCCUGGUAGUCCACGCAGUAAACGAUGAGGACUUGUUGUCGGCGAUAGAGUGUCGGUGACAAAGCGAAAGCGAUAAGUCCUCCACCUGGGGAGUACGAUCGCAAGGUUGAAACUCAAAUGAAUUGACGGGG
Molecule: ribosomal RNA, 393 nt
Filed under: uncultured bacterium
Lineage: Bacteria
Description: partial 16S ribosomal RNA
Rfam family: Bacterial small subunit ribosomal RNA
Source: RNAcentral